This 90-nucleotide unclassified non-coding RNA is filed under the name Pseudomonas jessenii. Lineage: Bacteria; Pseudomonadati; Pseudomonadota; Gammaproteobacteria; Pseudomonadales; Pseudomonadaceae. The record is from RNAcentral.
UGUGGGAGCGAGCUUGCUCGCGAUUGCAUAGUGUCAGUCGACAUCUUCGUUGACUGAUACACCGCUAUCGCGAGCAAGCUCGCUCCCACA